RNAcentral lists this ribosomal RNA (313 nucleotides) under uncultured bacterium. RNAcentral describes it as "bacterial SSU rRNA". It matches the Rfam family "Bacterial small subunit ribosomal RNA", at positions 28 to 334 of the family's 1533-position model. The record is from RNAcentral.
GAUGAACGCUAGCGGCAGGCUUAACACAUGCAAGUCGAGGGGUAACAGGAAAAAGCUUGCUUUUUCGCUGACGACCGGCGCACGGGUGCGUAACGCGUAUAGAAUCUACCUUUUACUGAGGGAUAGCCUUUAGAAAUGAAGAUUAAUACCUCAUAGUAUCAAAUUUUCGCAUGAUUAUUUGAUUAAAGAUUUAUUGGUAAAAGAUGACUAUGCGUCCUAUUAGCUAGAUGGUAAGGUAACGGCUUACCAUGGCAACGAUCCCUAGCUGGUCUGAGAGGAUGAUCAGCCACACUGGAACUGAGACACGGUCCAG